RNAcentral lists this ribosomal RNA (355 nucleotides) under uncultured bacterium. RNAcentral describes it as "bacterial SSU rRNA". It matches the Rfam family "Bacterial small subunit ribosomal RNA", at positions 917 to 1271 of the family's 1533-position model. The record is from RNAcentral.
GGGCCCGCACAAGCAGUGGAGCAUGUGGUUUAAUUCGAUGCAACGCGAAGAACCUUACCAGGCCUUGACAUCCCCGGAACUUUCUAGAGAUAGAUUGGUGCCUUCGGGAACCGGGUGACAGGUGCUGCAUGGCUGUCGUCAGCUCGUGUCGUGAGGUGUCAGGUUAAGUCCUAUAACGAGCGCAACCCCUACCGUUAGUUGCCAGCGUGUAAUGACGGGGACUCUAACGGAACUGCCGGUGACAAACCGGAGGAAGGUGGGGACGACGUCAAGUCAUCAUGGCCCUUACGGCCUGGGCUACACACGUGCUACAAUGGCUAGGACAGACGGCUGCAAACCAGCGAUGGGGAGCUAA